RNAcentral lists this small nuclear RNA (19 nucleotides) under Arabidopsis thaliana (thale cress). Its description in RNAcentral is "snRNA_04576". The record is from RNAcentral. Lineage: Eukaryota; Viridiplantae; Streptophyta; Magnoliopsida; Brassicales; Brassicaceae.
GCGAGAGUAGUACUAGGAU